GAUGAACGCUGGCGGCGUGCCUAAUACAUGCAAGUCGAGCGGACGGACGAGAAGCUUGCUUCUCUGAUGUUAGCGGCGGACGGGUGAGUAACACGUGGAUAACCUACCUAUAAGACUGGGAUAACUUCGGGAAACCGGAGCUAAUACCGGAUAAUAUUUUGAACCGCAUGGUUCAAAAGUGAAAGACGGUCUUGCUGUCACUUAUAGAUGGAUCCGCGCUGCAUUAGCUAGUUGGUAAGGUAACGGCUUACCAAGGCAACGAUGCAUAGCCGACCUGAGAGGGUGAUCGGCCACACUGGAACUGAGACACGGUCCAGACUCCUACGGGAGGCAGCAGUAGGGAAUCUUCCGCAAUGGGGGAAAGCCUGACGGAGCAACGCCGCGUGAGUGAUGAAGGUCUUCGGAUCGUAAAACUCUGUUAUUAGGGAAGAACACAUGUGUAAGUAACUGUGCACAUCUUGACGGUACCUAAUCAGAAAGCCACGGCUAACUACGUG
RNAcentral lists this ribosomal RNA (497 nucleotides) under uncultured bacterium. RNAcentral describes it as "partial 16S ribosomal RNA". It matches the Rfam family "Bacterial small subunit ribosomal RNA", at positions 28 to 507 of the family's 1533-position model. The record is from RNAcentral.